Molecule: transfer RNA, 69 nt
Filed under: Gordonella aff. paravillosa ZS-2018
Lineage: Eukaryota; Metazoa; Arthropoda; Malacostraca; Decapoda; Solenoceridae
Description: tRNA-Lys
Source: RNAcentral
CAUUAGAUGACUGAAAGUAAGUGUAAGUCUUUUAAACUUAUUAUAGUAAUUAACAACUACUUCUAGUGA